AGAGUUUGAUCCUGGCUCAGGACGAACGCUGGCGGCGUGCCUAACACAUGCAAGUCGAGCGGGAGACUUCGGUCUCCAGCGGCGGACGGGUGAGUAACACGUGGGUAACCUGCCUCAUAGAGGGGGAUAGCCUCCCGAAAGGGAGAUUAAUACCGCAUAACAUCACAGUACUGCAUGGUACAGUGAUUAAAGGAGCAAUCCGCUAUGAGAUGGACCCGCGGCGCAUUAGCUAGUUGGUGAGGUAACGGCUCACCAAGGCCACGAUGCGUAGCCGACCUGAGAGGGUGAUCGGCCACAUUGGAACUGAGACACGGUCCAGACUCCUACGGGAGGCAGCAGUGGGGAAUAUUGCACAAUGGGCGAAAGCCUGAUGCAGCAACGCCGCGUGGAGGAUGAAGGCCUUCGGGUUGUAAACUCUUGUCUUCUGGGACGAUAAUGACGGUACCAGAGGAGGAAGCCACGGCUAACUACGUG
This 474-nucleotide ribosomal RNA is filed under the name uncultured Clostridium sp. RNAcentral describes it as "bacterial SSU rRNA". It matches the Rfam family "Bacterial small subunit ribosomal RNA", at positions 8 to 507 of the family's 1533-position model. Lineage: Bacteria; Bacillati; Bacillota; Clostridia; Eubacteriales; Clostridiaceae. The record is from RNAcentral.